AGAUGAUCCAUCUGGAGCAGAAAACCUCAGGGGCAUUUGGGAAAUAGAGAGGCAUAGGGAAGGCUGGGGACAAGGACAAGACAGGAGGAGCUGUGUCUCCUCUGAGGCUCCAGCUCCCGCCUGCCUGGCCCACCAUGGCCCCACCUUCUGCAAAGCAACCCCUGAGCUUGGAUGAGCCAAGAAGCUCCUGUUGAUGACUUCCCAGGGCUGAAUUAGCACUACCCUCUGCUCCAGUGGGGAGAGAGAGAUGCCCCAGAAGGAAACGAGCUUUGCCUGGCAGUCCACCCUGGGCUCUCUCGUGGUGGAGUGGAGGAGGUGGGUUUGGCAAAGGAGUAGAUGCUGUAGAAAAAGCAAACAGAUGGGAAACAUGCAGUGAAGAAGGCAUUCUGACAUCUGAAUUUUCCACACUCCAGGAAUGUCAGUGUUUAUAAAUUCCUUCCCCUGGCCUACAUAAAAAGACUCUUCUGUUUUGAACAUGUUAGGUAAUUAGGAGCCUGGAAGGAUAAAACCCCAGGAAGCCUAGUAGGGUACAUUAGGGGACCAGCUUGCUGUAUGGCUGUUGUUUUUCCUCUUUCUAUAAAAGAGUAGGAAAGAAUAAAUGAGUUUCUCCUAUGGGCCAGAAUUAGAAAAAUCUCAUAUGUCUUUGUAGCACCACUGUCUCUACUGCCACUGACACAUAGUAGAUGCCUCGCAAAUAAAUGUGUAUGGAUGAAGAAAGAAAUGAAAUAACCUUG
This is a long non-coding RNA of Suricata suricatta (meerkat), 734 nucleotides long. RefSeq lists it as uncharacterized. The transcript is spliced from 3 exons. The record is from RefSeq and is a predicted model, not a curated record. Lineage: Eukaryota; Metazoa; Chordata; Mammalia; Carnivora; Herpestidae.